CCUACGGGAGGCAGCAGUGAGGAAUAUUGGUCAAUGGGCGAGAGCCUGCACCAGCCAAGUCGCGUGAGGGAGUACUGCCCUAUGGGUUGUAAACCUCUUUUGUCGGGGAGCAAAAGCCGGACGUGUCCGGCUGUGAGAGUACCCUAAGAACAAGCAUCGUCUAACUCCGUGCCAGCAGCCGCGGUAAUACGGAGGAUGCGAGCGUUAUCCGGAGUUAGUGGGUUUAAAGGGGGCGCAGGCGGAUUUUUAAGUCAGCGGUCAAAUCGUGGGGCUAAACCCCAUCCAGCCGUGGAAACUGGGGAUCUAGAGUGUGCGAGAGGUAUGCGGAAUGCGUGGUGUAGCGGUGAAAUGCAUAGAUAUCACGCAGAACCCCGAUUGCGAAGGCAGUAUACCGGUGCACAACUGACGCUCAGGCACGAAAGCGUGGGUAUCGAACAGGAUUAGAUACCCUGGUAGUC
RNAcentral lists this ribosomal RNA (458 nucleotides) under uncultured bacterium. RNAcentral's name for it is "partial 16S ribosomal RNA". It matches the Rfam family "Bacterial small subunit ribosomal RNA", at positions 338 to 795 of the family's 1533-position model. The record is from RNAcentral.